RNAcentral lists this ribosomal RNA (146 nucleotides) under uncultured eukaryote. RNAcentral describes it as "partial 18S ribosomal RNA". It matches the Rfam family "Eukaryotic small subunit ribosomal RNA", at positions 1299 to 1458 of the family's 1831-position model. The record is from RNAcentral.
UGGUGGAGUGAUUUGUCUGGUUAAUUCCGUUAACGAACGAGACCUCGACCUGCUAAAUAGUACAGCGUAAGCCUUUCUGUGUUUAUGUGUGCACUUCUUAGAGGGACUGUCGGUGUUCUAGCCGAAGGAAGUUCGAGGCAAUAACA